This 322-nucleotide ribosomal RNA is filed under the name uncultured bacterium. RNAcentral's name for it is "bacterial SSU rRNA". It matches the Rfam family "Bacterial small subunit ribosomal RNA", at positions 28 to 334 of the family's 1533-position model. The record is from RNAcentral.
GAUGAACGCUGGCGGCGUGCUUAACACAUGCAAGUCGAACGAGAAUCAACGGAUUGAGGAUUCGUCCAAAUGAAGUUGAGGAAAGUGGCGGACGGGUGAGUAACACGUGAGCAACCUGCCUCUAAGUGGGGAAUAACGGCUGGAAACGGUCGCUAAUACCGCAUAAUAUAGCGGGUCGCAUGACCUUGCUAUCAAAGAUUUAUCGCUUAGAGAUGGGCUCGCGUCCGAUUAGCUAGAUGGUGGGGUAACGGCCCACCAAGGCGACGAUCGGUAGCCGGACUGAGAGGUUGAUCGGCCACAUUGGGACUGAGACACGGCCCAG